This 336-nucleotide ribosomal RNA is filed under the name Salmonella enterica subsp. enterica serovar Mbandaka. RNAcentral's name for it is "partial 23S ribosomal RNA". It matches the Rfam family "Bacterial large subunit ribosomal RNA", at positions 1 to 373 of the family's 2925-position model. Lineage: Bacteria; Pseudomonadati; Pseudomonadota; Gammaproteobacteria; Enterobacterales; Enterobacteriaceae. The record is from RNAcentral.
GGUUAAGCGACUAAGCGUACACGGUGGAUGCCCUGGCAGUCAGAGGCGAUGAAGGACGUGCUAAUCUGCGAUAAGCGCCGGUAAGGUGAUAUGAACCGUUAUAACCGGCGAUUUCCGAAUGGGGAAACCCAGUGUGAUUCGUCACACUAUCAUUAACUGAAUCCAUAGGUUAAUGAGGCGAACCGGGGGAACUGAAACAUCUAAGUACCCCGAGGAAAAGAAAUCAACCGAGAUUCCCCCAGUAGCGGCGAGCGAACGGGGAGGAGCCCAGAGCCUGAAUCAGCAUGUGUGUUAGUGGAAGCGUCUGGAAAGGCGCGCGAUACAGGGUGACAGCCC